Molecule: non-coding RNA, 99 nt
Organism: Acanthosepion pharaonis
Lineage: Eukaryota; Metazoa; Mollusca; Cephalopoda; Sepiida; Sepiidae
Source: the annotation of a GenBank genome assembly
AUUGAAACACCAAUUCCCAUACGAUCAUUGAAGUUAAACAAUUUUGAGCCUGAUCAAUACCUAGAUGGAUGACUACUUGGGAAUUCCGGGUGCUGUGAG